GCAAGUGCACAGACUUGAAAGCUGGUCGAAUCUGUUUUGAAAUCUCCAAGGAGAGGGUUUUUCCCCCUUUUUUUCACUCCAAAGCACUAUCUGUGGCGAUCAGACUGAGCAGGGUUGCCAGCAAAUGCAGGAGGCCCCUUCUAGGGUACAGGCUUUCAAACCAGCGAAGCUAGAGGGAAUGGAUUUAAGGACACACAGCAGGAGCUGGCUGGAUUCAUUUUAUUUUGACGGGGGUAGUUGGGGGAGGAAUAUCAUUUCUGAAAUGCCCAAGGAAUGAAGGGAGAGGAUAUGGAUUUCUUAAACAGUUUUUUGCAAGAGGAGCGGUGUCUUGUUCUGCAGAUGGAAACACCAAAGCACAGAGUCAAGCGACUAAGUUCAUUCGCCUGGAAAAGAACUGCGCGUUUCCAGAGCUCUCACUCAUGGUCACCAUACUGCACUGCCUUUUCAUGAAGGGUGUAAAUACACGCCAUGAUUUGACUCCCAGCAUGACAAAACCAGACUUUUCCUGUUACAGCUCCCAUUUCCACAGGGGCAUCAACUUUGCUAAAUGGGGGUGGUUGCUGAGUUCCAAGAAGGAGCAUUCCAUGAAAGGUGAAAGCAGAAGCUGUAUAUUUCUGAAGACUUGGACUCAAAAGUUACAUAGCAUCACCUCUGCUACAUUAUAUUGGCGAAGUCCAAGAGGAAGGAAAAUAAACUUUGCUUCUUAAUGGGAAGAAUGGAAAAAAUAAAAGGAAAAUAAAAG
RNAcentral lists this long non-coding RNA (742 nucleotides) under Homo sapiens (human). Its description in RNAcentral is "HSALNT0017944". The record is from RNAcentral. Lineage: Eukaryota; Metazoa; Chordata; Mammalia; Primates; Hominidae.